This 359-nucleotide long non-coding RNA is filed under the name Numida meleagris (helmeted guineafowl). RNAcentral describes it as "lncRNA (ENSNMEG00000004892.1)". The record is from RNAcentral. Lineage: Eukaryota; Metazoa; Chordata; Aves; Galliformes; Numididae.
UGAGAUAUCCCUAUUCUAACCACAGUGAAAGCAGCGUCAGAUUCUGCAACCAGUUCAGAGACUUAACCCAGAGCCUCCUACCUCCUCUGUGCCCUGUCUCUUGCUCCUGCUCUCCAACAGUUACUACAUGCACUGUCUGCAGGAUUUCCCACUUUGUAGGAUCUGACUUCUAUCUAGCAGAGACCAGCUGGUGGCAGAAGAAUGCAAUCAAUGGUUUCCAAACUGUCAUUGCUGCUCCUAUCUUUCACGUGGUGGAGGUCUGCCUGCUACCCCAUUAACAUGCACAUGCCUGGGGGACGUCUUCUCUGACGCUCUGGUGUUUUUCCAAUCAAAUGUUAUUUAUUCAGCUGAGAAAGGGA